UCAAUGGUCCAUUCUGCUCAUGAAAUGGCUCCAUGAGAGUGGCUGGCUUUGGUGGCUUUCGUCUGCGAAUGACGAUUAUCACCAUCAACAAGAGCAGCAGGAGCAUCCGAUUUCUCUACAACUCCCAUCACUCAAUUAGUCCGCAGCUUCAACACCAUGAGGAACCAACUGAGUUGUUAAGGCUUUCUCUGUCUUCAGAACCAAAAAAACAUCGUGGCGCAGUUAAAGGUGAUCAAGACCAGUGGCUCUCUUUGAACUCUGAAGCAUCCACUUCAGUGUUUAGACAAUAAUAUCAUUUAGUUGAGACACAGAGGUUUAAAAUCCCACCUCCUAUUUAGAAAGAUUUCAACAUUUCUCAGGUUUGGGUAUGACCCUGUUUUGAGGCUGUCUUCAUCUGCUAUUUACUCAUCAAUCUUGGGGACUAUAGAUUUUGCACUUGGAAAGGUUACAGACUCUGGCCAAGUUGGCUACAUGGUGAUUGUUGAUCUCCUGAAUUUGAGAUAACCGCAAAUGAGCUAGAGGCAAAGAAGUUCUAGCCUGGCUUUGGCUAAGAAUCUUGCUUCAAGGUGAUGCGGCAGGUGUGUGCUGACCUUCUUGAGGAAAAUGGAACUGGUUUUCAUUGUUUCAAAGGAUGGAAUUGAUACUGUGACAGUGGUAUGCUGAUACGAAUGCUGAGCAAUAAGCUACCGAAAGGCAGACAUUUGAUUGGGGAUAGUGUGGUUUACAAUGUGGGUGUUUGGUUACCCCAGGAGUUUCAGCCGCAGCUAGAAGUUACCCCUAUAAUUAAGUAUGUUUCGGAUCCUCAGAUUGUGUUGGGCCACUAAAUUGUGGUGAAUAAGUCACAUAUAUAUGCUAUGGAUUGAAGCAGGGGAAUAUUCGGGUUUUGAAUAUACACACUGCAUUGAGUUUGUUGUUUCAAGCUGAUACACAGAUGAAGAAGGUGCGCCACAAAUCACAGGAAAGAUUGUUAUGGCCAUUCAAAUAGUUGGUGAGGGGGAAGCUGUUCAUCCACGAGUUUGGCGGCACUGUCAUAAACAAGAGGUUUUGGUUGUUCAUGUUGGGAAGCGUUUUUACAAAUUGUUACUACUAAAGUUGCAAAGGGUGAAGUCCCUUCUGCUGAGGAUCCUAUUAAAUGUCCUGUUGAAAAACUUAUUGAUGGGGUCCAAAUAUUUGGUGGUAAACAUGAUGGAGAGGUGACAGAUUUAUUAAUGUGCCAAUGGAUGACCACCCGGUUGGUUUCUGCUUCUAUGGAUGGAACUAAGGACGGCUUUUUGUCUGGAAAAUUUCUGAAGGUCUAGACGAAGAAGGUACACCACAAAUCACAAGAAAGAUUGUUAUGGCCAUUCAACUAGUUGGUUAGGGGGAAGCUGUUCAUCCACAAGUUUGUUGGCACUGUCAUAAACAACAGGUUUUGGUUGUUCGAGUUGGGAAG
Molecule: long non-coding RNA, 1432 nt
Filed under: Rosa chinensis
Lineage: Eukaryota; Viridiplantae; Streptophyta; Magnoliopsida; Rosales; Rosaceae
Description: sRNA RchiOBHm_Chr4g0387131
Source: RNAcentral